RNAcentral lists this long non-coding RNA (534 nucleotides) under Heterocephalus glaber (naked mole-rat). Its description in RNAcentral is "lncRNA (ENSHGLG00000043198.1)". The record is from RNAcentral. Lineage: Eukaryota; Metazoa; Chordata; Mammalia; Rodentia; Bathyergidae.
CGCCCGCUGGAAACCUGUGUCCAGAGCAGGAGAGCAACCGGAAGUGAGGCCUGCUGGCUGAGAGAGACCACUGUGAGCAGGGCCCCGAAACUCACCGGCUCGUUCUGGGGCGCUUUCUUCCCGACUGUUCGCACGCUGAAGGCCUUGUGCUCACCUCGCCUAUUUGUGUGUCUUCUCAGCACAUGGAGACCCAGAAGAAUCAGUGUAAAAUAGAUUUGGACAGCAAAUUGCCUUUCUGCAGUUGUGUUAUGGCUACCAUUGCAAUUAAGAAAUGGAAAAUGAACUUCUGAGAUCCAAUGCAGUCGGCUUUCAUCAGCCUCAGAACCAUGUAUGGAAAGAAAACAAAAUACAGAUGUAAGAGGAUGGCAAAAAGAGAAAACCCAGCAAAAGCACUCAGAAGUGGUGCAAGAACCCUGGGUGAAAACCAACUUUGGGAAAAUAGCAGCGGAAGACAUCUGCCAUCCGUGAACAGGCAGUGGUUUAGUUGGCUUCAUACCUGUGUUCCCUCAUUUAUUUUGAGUAAAGAAAAAAAUC